GACGAACGCUGGCGGCGUGCCUAAUACAUGCAAGUCGAACGCAGUGGGGACGGGUGAGUAACACGUGGGUAACCUCCCAUCAGAGGGGAUAACACUUGGAAACAGGUGCUAAACCGAUAGGAUGAGCCCAAGUGGGAUUAGGUAGUGGGUGGGGUAAUGGCCUACCAAGCCGACGAUCCCUAGCUGGUCUGAGUGGAUGACCAGCCACACCGGGACUGAGACACGGCCCAGACUCCUACGGGAGGCAGCAGUAGGGAAUCUUCGGCAAUGGACGGAAGUCUGACCGAGCAACGCCGCGUGAGUGAAGAAGGUUUUCGGAUCGUAAAACUCUGUUGUUAGAGAAGCGGUAUCUAACCAGAAAGCCACGGCUAACUACGUGCCAGCCGCCGCGGUAAUUC
RNAcentral lists this ribosomal RNA (398 nucleotides) under uncultured bacterium. RNAcentral describes it as "partial 16S ribosomal RNA". It matches the Rfam family "Bacterial small subunit ribosomal RNA", at positions 28 to 526 of the family's 1533-position model. The record is from RNAcentral.